Molecule: long non-coding RNA, 1553 nt
Organism: Gallus gallus (chicken)
Lineage: Eukaryota; Metazoa; Chordata; Aves; Galliformes; Phasianidae
Source: Ensembl
UGAGUGAGUACUGCUGAAUCAGGAGAAUCACAGUCUGGUCUCAACAAUGUUUCUUUUAACCAACAACUUAAUCUUUUAAGCCUCACAUUAGCUAAAAGGGCUUUUACAGGCCCUUGGUAAAACCCAGCUGUUACUUUCAGAGAUGCUGUAAGUACCAGAGCAGAGGACAUGGUCUCAGCUCUCAGUUCAGGCAUGUUUCCUUGCAUCAUUCCAGAAUGCUGACUGCUUACUUUUGGGUCAUAAGAGGCAAAUUCAUCCCUAGAAUGAGUCAGUGGAUUUCCACUAGAGCUGACUCCCUGCUCGGGGAUGCUCCCAUACGUUGCAGAAAUCCUCCUGUGGAGACAACAAGGCAGUGGAGCAGCACACACAUGCUCAGAGGGAAUCACAGUGCGGACUGUCCAGUGAUGAUGGACAUGCCCAGAACUGGCACACACAUUUAAACAGAUGAUAUUUUGGCCAUCACUGGCUGAAGCUGGAUUCUGCUCUCAGUUACGGCAGCUGAAUAUGGAAUGUUCAUUUAGAUGCCAAUGGCAUAACUUUGGUUUUGUUCCUGAGCAUUGAGCCAAUCCAUGGCCCUCAGUUCUCCCUCCUUUACAUUCAAACUAACCUUCUACUGAGCACAUACUUUCAUCUGUAUCUCUCUUUUCAUCUCUUCAGCAGAAGUAACAACUUAGAUGCAGUAAUCAAGAAGCAGAUAGAUCCAGAGAAGGUAAGGAACUUAAAGGUUGAUUUUCCCUGCACAGAUCUCCAUGUAAAAAUGUUAUUGACCAUGCUGAGUGUUCUUUCCAAGUUUUUUCAAAGGCUUCCAGUACUCUUUGGAGAGCAGGCUUUGGCCAUCCAUUCCUUCUUACGCUUCCUGUGCGUCCCUUUGAAAUCCUUCACCCUUUCACAGGAGCUUUCCUCAGUCUAGGACACUGUCUUUGCAUCUUUUGAUCAGAGCAUGGUUGAAGUAGAAACACUGUCCCUUCUUUCAGCAUCAGAGUGAAACUUACUUUCUCGGCAGCUGCACUUUGCCAGCCAGGCUGCAGGUUUGACAGACCCGAGUAGUGGAGUUUCCUGGGGAGCAGAGUUCUGUGUUAAAAAGCAGUGACUCUUCAGAAACCUGUAAAGAAAGCUUUCCCAGAGUGGCUUUGUCUCAUCAUAUCUCAUCUUUUCAGGGAACUCUAGGCAUUUUAUGCUUUAUCCUUUCUCAUUUUUUUUUUCCCCUUCUCUUCAUUUUCUUUGGAUUCCAGAGAACAACUGCCAUAGAGGGAGCAUCUACUUCCUCAUAUUUAAAUCUAAUUUAAGUCAGCCCCCUGAUCCCUACACACAGAUGAUGCCAUGUUUGAUGUAUGCUCACUCAGAUUGUCUCCAAAGACUUCUAGUAUUUUUAGAAACUUCCAUUUUAGCCACAUCUUCUCUCCUAUUCUUUUCCUUUAUACUUUUUUCUUUGUUUCUCUACCAUCCCAAAGUACUAUUCUUGAAUCUUUUCAUUGUUCCUUUCCGUAAUAGUGCCCUGAAGAUCACUGUUGUCACAUCCCAUAUUCAUCGUAGUGCUUUUUUGAACCACUCAG